GGGCCCUACGGGACGCGCAGUGGGGAAUAUUGGGCAAUGGGCGCAAGCCUGACCCAGCAACGCCGCGUGAAGGAAGAAGGCUUUCGGGUUGUAAACUUCUUUUCUCAGGGACGAACAGAUGACGGUACCUGAGGAAUAAGCCACGGCUAACUACGUGCCAGCAGCCGCGGUAAUACGUAGGUGGCAAGCGUUAUCCGGAUUUAUUGGGUUUAAAGGGUGCGUAGGCGGGCUUUUAAGUCAGCGGUAAAAAUUCGGGGCUCAACCCCGUCCGGCCGUUGAAACUGGGGGCCUUGAGUGGGCGAGAA
RNAcentral lists this ribosomal RNA (305 nucleotides) under uncultured bacterium. RNAcentral's name for it is "bacterial SSU rRNA". It matches the Rfam family "Bacterial small subunit ribosomal RNA", at positions 334 to 656 of the family's 1533-position model. The record is from RNAcentral.